GAACACCCGAUGGCGAAAGGCAGGUCUCUGGGCUGUAACUGACGCUGAGAAGCGAAAAGCAUGGGGAGCGAACAGGAUUAGAUACCCUGGUAGUCCAUGCCGUAAUACGUUGGGCACUAGGUGUGGGGGACAUUCCACGUUUUCCGCGCCGUAGCUAACGCAUUAAGUGCCCCGCCUGGGGAGUACGGCCGCAAGGCUAAAACUCAAAGAAAUUGACGGGGGCCCGCACAAGCGGCGGAGCAUGCGGAUUAAUUCGAUGCAACGCGAAGAACCUUACCAAGGCUUGACAUAUACUGGACUCCCCUAGAGAUAGGGUUUCCCUUCGGGGCUGGUAUACAGGUGGUGCAUGGUUGUCGUCAGCUCGUGUCGUGAGAUGUUGGGUUAAGUCCCGCAACGAGCGCAACCCUCGUUCUAUGUUGCCAGCACGUGAUGGUGGGGACUCAUAGGAGACUGCCGGGGUCAACUCGGAGGAAGGUGGGGAUGACGUCAAAUCAUCAUGCCCCUUAUGUCUUGGGCUUCACGCAUGCUACAAUGGCCGGUACAAAGGGUUGCGAUACUGUGAGGUUGAGCUAAUCCCAAAAAGCCGGUCUCAGUUCGGAUUGGGGUCUGCAACUCGACCCCAUGAAGUCGGAGUCGCUAGUAAUCGCAGAUCAGCAACG
This 659-nucleotide ribosomal RNA is filed under the name Rothia terrae. RNAcentral describes it as "bacterial SSU rRNA". It matches the Rfam family "Bacterial small subunit ribosomal RNA", at positions 704 to 1356 of the family's 1533-position model. Lineage: Bacteria; Bacillati; Actinomycetota; Actinomycetes; Micrococcales; Micrococcaceae. The record is from RNAcentral.